GAUAUUGAAGAUGAAGAAGGGAACCCUGGUAGCGAUAGGAAUGAAGAAGGGAGACAUCAGUGUGUGGAAGAUACUGAUUUAGAUGAGAGAGGCUAUGAUGUUGAGAUCACCGACACUGAAGCAUCAGACGAUUUGCUGUAUGAAGAAGUUCUGACGGUGCUGACUAAGAGUGCCCAAAGGAAAGAACAUCGGAAAGCUGUUUUGCAACGAAAAAAGAAGAGAGCAAGGAUUGACCCAAACACAAUCAAAGCCACAAUUGAUGAGAUUGCGACCAAAGCUUACAGCCGGUGUAGCGUGCCAUACUUCUCCGAGAUUGUGAGUUUCGUGUGUAAGAGCCACCACAGGGUCCAACUUGUUAGGAACAGCGGUUUCGGGUAUCUGUUGGAGCUGGUUGACUGUCCUGUACCCAGGGGUUUUGUGCAGUGGAUCGCUGACAAUGUUGACACAAAAGCAGAAGCAAUUGUUUUCAACAAGAAGAGCAUUCCACUGAAUGCUCAGUCAGUGGAGUUUGUGUUGGGGAUUCCUUCAGGGGAAACAAUCAUAAACACUAAAGAAGAAGAUGCUGGCAAACAAGCUUUUCUUGCGCUUUUUGGUUUGACAGAAGUCCCAACAAUCAAAUUCUUUGGCAAUAAGCUGAUGAACGAAGAUAUGUCUGACGACCAGAUCAUCCGUUGUUUCCUGGUUGUGGCAUUAUCAACAUUCCUUUGCCCGACAUCAAACACUAAACCAAGCACCAAAUAUAUGGGAGCUCUAGUUAAUGUGGAGCAACUCAAGCAACUAAAUUGGUGCAGGUUUGUUCACGAUUGGUAG
This 810-nucleotide ribosomal RNA is filed under the name Triticum aestivum (bread wheat). RNAcentral describes it as "partial small subunit ribosomal RNA". Lineage: Eukaryota; Viridiplantae; Streptophyta; Magnoliopsida; Poales; Poaceae. The record is from RNAcentral.